Molecule: long non-coding RNA, 977 nt
Organism: Canis lupus familiaris (dog)
Lineage: Eukaryota; Metazoa; Chordata; Mammalia; Carnivora; Canidae
Exons: 5
Source: RefSeq, a predicted model, not a curated record
AGGCCUCGUAAGGGCAAUCCCCAGAAAGAGCUGAAUCAGCUCACAUCCCCUCCAUGCCAGGGCAAAGUCAAACACAGGCACCUCCCACACCUGGGAACUUUGGCCGAGACCCUGAGAUUAGCUCAGACAGAAGAUGGCGGGGGGAGAGCACACAGCCUGGCAGGAAAGCAAUUGGGUCAUGAGGUUGGUGCAGACACAACAGCGUAGCGUGCUCCGUCCCUGUGAGCUGGGUGAGCGGACAUGGAUCGGUGAGAACGAAGGUGAAUGGCAGUAGUCACUGGUCAGUAGCCUAGGACUGUCUCCAGACCAAUCCAGGACUGUCCUCUCAGCACAUCCCAGGAAUGUCACCAUCAAAGCCCAGGGCUGUGUGUCACAGCUCAGUACUGUCCUUCAUGCUUCAGGGCUGCCCCAUAUCACAGCCCAGGAAGGGUCCUCCUCAUAAUGCAGUGCUUUGUCUCAGCCAGGGGCUGUCCCUAUCACAGCCCCAAACUGUCCUGGUCAUGGCCCAGGAUCGAUCCCAUCGCAUGCAGAGCUGUCCUGGGGAGAGCCCAUGGCUCUCCCAUUACAGACCAAGACUUCCCUAGGGCAGCUGGAGAGGAUCUCCACCAUCACAACCUCAAGCUGUCCCUGCCCCAGUGCAGGGCUUUCACACCGCAGUCCAGAAGUGUCGCCAUCAAAGCCCAGAUCGUCCCAGUCAGAGCUCAGCCUCAGUCACCAAGACUCCGAAAAGAAGAAGAAGAAAAAAAAUCUGCCCUGUUCUCCAUCAGGCUGGGGCAGAGACUGUUCCCUAAAAUCAUAGCCUCCCAAACUCUGCUGGUGGACCUCUUACGGGUAAUGAUCUCAGGAUCCUGACACCCAGCUCCGCACAAGCACGAAGUCAGUUUGGGAUUCUCUGCCUCUCCCUCCCCUUCUGCUCCAUUACCAGGCUCGCACACGCGCAUGCGCUCUCUCUCAUAAAUAAAUAUCUAAAACAAAUA